Molecule: long non-coding RNA, 1610 nt
Organism: Hipposideros armiger (great roundleaf bat)
Lineage: Eukaryota; Metazoa; Chordata; Mammalia; Chiroptera; Hipposideridae
Exons: 2
Source: RefSeq, a predicted model, not a curated record
UGUGCCUUUUCCCUUGUCACCGAGCGAGUGUUUCUGUGGUAUAAAUUCCUAAAAAUGGAAUCGCUUGGUCAAAGGGCAGGUGCAUUGAACAAUCUGACAGCUCUCUGGCAGCAGGUGCGGCCUCCAGGGUCAGGAGUUGCUUUUAAGAAUAGUUGCUAAUGGAGCCCAGUGAGUUCUGGGGACCAGGUGAGUUCUCUGUCCCAGGGGUGUUCCAAAUGGGACACUAAGGAGGGGAGGUGGGAAGAGGGGAUGCCCUCCCCAUCUUGACUCUGUGAUCCCAGUUCUAAUACUGGUGCUCUGCCAUGCCCAUUUUACAGACAGCAAACACUGAGUUCCAGAGAGGUUGAGUCACUUAACUAUAGCUGCCCACCAAGCAGCAUUUGAGCCAUGGUGCCAGCCUGGACUGAGUCUUGGGCUCCACCAUCCUAGCUUCCGGCUCCACACCUCAUGGGUCCUUUCUUUACUGGCUCCUCUCAAAGGCACUCAUGUGCCCUCCAGAGCUUUCUUCUGUCACAUUUCUGAAACUCACCUUCGUGUCCUCGGGUCUUGCCGGUUCCAGAUCUUUGGCUGGUCGGGUUGCAAAACAAACAACCUGUCCCUUUUUCCCUUUGUCAUUUUCGUAUCUGCUUCAUCUCUUGGCAAGAGCAUCUUGUUGUUUACAAAAUUUAUUCUUGUUGAUUUUUAAACUUUCUUUCUGUUUUUGGUUAACAUCACUAUUGUUUCUGGGCGGGGGAAGCAAAACAUCCUUACUAUAAAAUAAAUAAAUUCAAGCAACACUGAAAACUACAAGCAAGAAAAUAAAAAAUCACCAACGCUCCCCACUCAGAGAGGACCAUGGUUAGUGUUUGGGUGAGCCGCAGAUUCUAAUCAUUUCUAACCACCCCCACUAAUGAUAAUGAAAAUCUCUGCCUUUCUCACCACAGGUGGGGCAUAUGAGUCACCAGGGUAGGCCUGAAAAUAGCUGUUAGUUCCCGCCCCUCCAAGACCCCCAUCCUUCACCCCCAGCCUUGCCUGGGACUCCCCUGCUCCUGCUUCCAGGCUGAAGCAGCUGGUCCAGCAGAUCCUGCAGGGUGUGGUACCAACCGAGUUCCCCACCUCCAAAGAGAGUUCCACCCACUCCACACCUCUCACCUUCCAGACCGCAAGAGGCUGAGACCCAGCAGGAAGACAGAUGGCAAAUGGAGGCCCCAAGAAGAGAAGCGCCUGGUGAACACGGUAAGGGACCUGGGGGGUCAACAGUCAUUUAACAAGCUCAACAGCACUGACUUCUUCAGGUGAGCUGGGACCUGGGCGCACAGAGGUCAUCCCACUCUUGACAACACCUGGCUCUGCCUGACCCACAACAGGUCCUGGUCUCCAGUCUCCAUUCCUCCUGGUGUGGGGAAACUGAGUCUCAGAGGGGCAAGACGGAUGGCAUCGUUGCCUAGACCCGGGAGUUGGAUGCCAGCUCCUCCCCUGAAGCCAUUUCUGAGCCUGACCCGUGAGCUCAAGAGAUCUGGGGUCAGGAAAGCAUGUCGUUAAUAAUGGAGGACUCCCUGGGUCACCAGCUGGAAGGGCUUCCUGGCCUAUACUCCCCAUCCCUGCAACUUAAAACCAAGGGUGUCAUUUAA